Molecule: ribosomal RNA, 372 nt
Filed under: uncultured bacterium
Lineage: Bacteria
Description: bacterial SSU rRNA
Rfam family: Bacterial small subunit ribosomal RNA
Source: RNAcentral
AUUGAACGCUGGCGGCGUGCCUAACACAUGCAAGUCGAGCGGUAACAGGUGUAGCAAUACAUGCUGACGAGCGGCGGACGGGUGAGUAACGCUUGGGAAUCUGCCUAUUAGUGGGGGACAACCCGGGGAAACUCGGGCUAAUACCGCAUACGCUCUACGGAGGAAAGCCGGGGGACCGCAAGGCCUGGCGCUAAUAGAUGAGCCCAAGUCGGAUUAGCUAGUUGGUAGGGUAAGGCCUACCAAGGCGACGAUCCGUAACUGGUCUGAGAGGACGACCAGUCACACCGGAACUGAGACACGGUCCGGACUCCUACGGGAGGCAGCAGUGGGGAAUAUUGGACAAUGGGCGAAAGCCUGAUCCAGCGACGCCGC